AUGCACGAUGCACCCCGGGCUACUCUUAUUAUCUCCAUGACGAUGAUGGCCCCAUUGCUCCUGCUAGAUUGUUGCCGUUUAGUGUUGCAGAUUAGCCUUUCGAUAGCCUGAUCUGUGUCAAAAUAACGCCUACAUUC
Non-coding RNA from Cucumis melo (muskmelon), 137 nucleotides. The record is from Rfam. NCBI's taxonomy places the organism in Eukaryota, Viridiplantae, Streptophyta, Magnoliopsida, Cucurbitales, Cucurbitaceae.